This 440-nucleotide ribosomal RNA is filed under the name uncultured bacterium. Its description in RNAcentral is "partial 16S ribosomal RNA". It matches the Rfam family "Bacterial small subunit ribosomal RNA", at positions 338 to 795 of the family's 1533-position model. The record is from RNAcentral.
CCUACGGGAGGCAGCAGUGGGGGAUAUUGCACAAUGGGGGAAACCCUGAUGCAGCGACGCCGCGUGUGGGAAGGCGGUCCUCUGGAUUGUAAACCACUGUCCCCAGGGACGAAGAUUACGGUACCUUGGGAGGAAGCUCCGGCUAACUACGUGCCAGCCGCCGCGGUAAUACGUAGGGAGCGAGCGUUGUACGGAAUUACUUGGUGAAAAGGGAGCGUAGGCGGGGAUGCAAGUUGGGUGUCAAAACUACCGGCUCAACUGGUAGUCGCACUCAGAACUGCAGCUCUUGAGUGAAGUAGAGGUAGGCGGAAUUCCUAGUGUAGCGGUGAAAUGCGUAGAUAUUAGGAGGAACACCAGUGGCGAAGGCGGCCUACUGGGCUUUUACUGACGCUGAGGCUCGAAAGUGUGGGGAGCAAACAGGAUUAGAUACCCCUGUAGUC